RNAcentral lists this transfer RNA (64 nucleotides) under Piesma cf. maculatum. RNAcentral's name for it is "tRNA-Thr". It matches the Rfam family "tRNA". Rfam says of the family: Transfer RNA (tRNA) molecules are approximately 80 nucleotides in length. Their secondary structure includes four short double-helical elements and three loops (D, anti-codon, and T loops). Lineage: Eukaryota; Metazoa; Arthropoda; Insecta; Hemiptera; Piesmatidae. The record is from RNAcentral.
GUUUUAAUAGUUUAAUUUAAAAUAAUGAUCUUGUAAGUCAUAGAUAGGAAUAACCUUUAAAACU